ACGCCGGCCUAUUCGGCCGCGCCGUUUGAAUCUGGGGUGGAGUUCGGUUCGUUUUCUUCGAUCGGGCUGUCUGGUACCUGGUAUCUGGUACUCCGGGGCUUUCAUUCCCUGUUCCAGGAAAUUUUCCAUCCAUUAACAUGCCGGUGAAGCCAAAAAAGAAAGGUCAAUCAAAUGAAAGAGCAAUUGCUGAAAUCUUAACUGUGAAUGUCAUCUUCCCUAAUGAAGAUAGAUAUGGUACGUUCUGCAUAACUUUUACAGAAGGAGAAUGCACGAGAAUUGAUGGCAUUGGACUGGAGAGAAAUGGAUUUGGCAUUCAUACUACACCCGAUGGAAUAAUAUACACAGGGCAAUGGAAAAAUGAUAAGAUGAAUGGCAAUGGAAAACUGGUGCAUCCUUCAGGUGCAACAUAUGAAGGAGAGUUUAAAGACAACACAUUUCAUGGUACAGGGAUAUACACAUGGCCAAAUAAUUUAAAAUAUAUUGGAAACUUCAAUAAAAACAAAUUGGAAGGAGAAGGCAAGUUCAUUGACGCACAAGGCUAUGAAUGGAUCGGGACAUUUCACUGCAAAGCUGCACCAGGGCUGAAGUUGAAGCUGGAUGUGUAAUCCAUGUCUGAAACAUUGUUUUGCAGUCACGUUUCUGUGACCUUUUUAGACAUCACUGAAUGUUCUGAUUCUACAGGAAGAACAACAGGCAGAAUGAUGCUGAAAUAUGGUGUUGUGUUAGCAGUGCUGUAAGAUCAUACAGUAUACUGUACUAUGACAGUCCAAGGACACACUGAGUGCAGUCAUAAUUUUAUUGAUCAAGUCUAGUGCAACAACAAAAUCUAACUAAGAGGCAGUAGUGGUGUGAUCUCUUGAGUCGAAUAUGAUGUUCUUCUAAGGGACUAAUCUGGGCUUUUAGGAUGGAUUCACUUAAUGGAGAACGCCUGUGCGUGAUUUUGUUUUACAUCCGGAGGCUGAUGCACAGGAACCCAAGGCAUGGUCCUUGGCAGAUCGAGGUCAGUGUCCAGUGGCGUGAAUUGCAAGAUAACUGAGGAGCCUUCACUGUUGCAGCCUUCUGAUUCUAAUUAAACCGAGACUCUGUUUGCUUUCUCAAGUAUUAGUUAUAGGUUUUGAGGAAGGACAGGAAGUUCAGAUUUAUGUAUCACAUGUACAUGGAAACAUAGAGUGAAAUGUGUAAAUUAACAAGCAACAUACCCAAGGAUGUACCGGGGGCAGCCUGCAAAUGUCGUCACACAUUCUGGCACCGACAAUAUUCAGCAGAACAAUCCAAGCUGCAACAACAAGAAGAAGCUCCCU
Molecule: RNA transcript, 1301 nt
Organism: Mobula hypostoma (lesser devil ray)
Lineage: Eukaryota; Metazoa; Chordata; Chondrichthyes; Myliobatiformes; Myliobatidae
Gene: morn2
Gene name: MORN repeat containing 2
Exons: 7
Source: RefSeq, a predicted model, not a curated record